AUUGAACGCUGGCGGCAUGCCUUACACAUGCAAGUCGAACGGCAGCAUGAUCUAGCUUGCUAGAUUGAUGGCGAGUGGCGAACGGGUGAGUAAUACAUCGGAACGUGCCCUGUAGUGGGGGAUAACUAGUCGAAAGAUUAGCUAAUACCGCAUACGACCUGAGGGUGAAAGUGGGGGACCGCAAGGCCUCAUGCUCUAGGAGCGGCCGAUGUCUGAUUAGCUAGUUGGUGAGGUAAAGGCCCACCAAGGCGACGAUCAGUAGCUGGUCUGAGAGGACGAUCAGCCACACUGGGACUGAGACACGGCCCAGACUCCUACGGGAGGCAGCAGUGGGGAAUUUUGGACAAUGGGCGAAAGCCUGAUCCAGCAAUGCCGCGUGUGUGAAGAAGGCCUUCGGGUUGUAAAGCACUUUUGUCCGGAAAGAAAUGGCUCUGGUUAAUACCUGGGGCCGAUGACGGUACCGGAAGAAUAAGGACCGGCUAACUACGUG
RNAcentral lists this ribosomal RNA (490 nucleotides) under uncultured bacterium. Its description in RNAcentral is "partial 16S ribosomal RNA". It matches the Rfam family "Bacterial small subunit ribosomal RNA", at positions 30 to 507 of the family's 1533-position model. The record is from RNAcentral.